AUUUUCUGUAAGCAGACAAUAAUUUAACAUUUAAGGAAGGAGUCUCCAGUGUCAGUCAGUGUUAGAGUCCACAAUAUUAAAGGUUAUUAUAAACAGAUAAAAGGUAUGACAUUUUGUUCUUUGGUAAAUAAACAUUUUAAUCGUUGGCAAAUUUCUGUGGUAUAAGAGGAAUAAAGCACUGCGGGUUGUACUGUUAGUAGAAAACCAAGUUCGGGUGGUGGCUGGAUGAUUAUUUUCCUAAAACAUCCGGUUAUGUUUUUUUUUAUUAUAACAUACUGUGUUAUAAAAGAAAAACUCCUUGUUGAUCCUAUGUGAUGUUUCUGAAAUCCAUAGUCACUAGUCCAUACAGUGACUAAUUAUUGCUAACACAUAUUUUAUCUUGUUCCUCUCAGUGUCACAGCUCAGUCAGAUCAGAACUCAAAUUCCCAAAAUGCAACACUCACUUCUCAAGCACGCAUGCGCUCACCAUCCCCGGAGUUCUGAGCAGACACACCUGUCACCAAUCACACACACACACACACACUCACUGCUAGUACUUAGGGAUGUCAUUCACCCAGAAUCUAUGCGAAAUAUACGUUCAGUCAACUCGUUUCUCUGCGUUACCAAGCCGGUCUAGUUAGUUUGUCUUCUCGUGAUCCUCGACCCUUGUUUCCGGUUUCGACUGCGCUCUCUGCCUGACCCCGUUUGUGUUGUUCGUCCGAUCGCUUGACAUUUGCCUGUCUUACGACUACGUUUCUUGUAUUUCCCGAUACGACGCUCUACACCUGCUGCCCGCUCCUGCUUCCGUGCCGAUUCGAGUUACAGUGAGAGUAAAUCACUUACCUGUCAGCUGGAAGGUUGGAUGGAUCCUCCAGGCUCAUUACGUGGCUGGUACUUAUUUUGUUCAUUGGUACACCAUAGUUCAAUGCUACAGUCUUUAACAUUUCCUCAUGCUGCAGAUCAACACCUAUGUUAUAGAUAUGUAGAUAUAACACAGAUUUGUUAUAGGUUGCAGUGUUAAGGUGUUCCUGGUUGCCAGUGUUUAUACUGCUGUAAUAAGAAGUUCGAAAUUAAUACUUAGACUGAUGAACUGCUUCCAGUCUAGAACGUCUGUCCUGGUUAGUAUGUUCCUGAGACAUGAUUCGUCCUUAGUAAAAAUGAUCACAUCAUUAAAAAAGUCUGGUUUCUGUGUAUAUGAGAGAAACAGGUCAACUAUUAAAACUGAGAUAUAUUGUUA
This is a long non-coding RNA of Ictalurus punctatus (channel catfish), 1216 nucleotides long. RefSeq lists it as uncharacterized. The transcript is spliced from 2 exons. The record is from RefSeq and is a predicted model, not a curated record. NCBI's taxonomy places the organism in Eukaryota, Metazoa, Chordata, Actinopteri, Siluriformes, Ictaluridae.